CCAAGGGGAAGUCUUGGGCUUGGGUCUUCAGGGACCCCCCGGGGAAUCCGCGGGGCCUCCUCGACACUUGGGCUUUUAUCUGAAAGAUUGAGAAGUCCCAGCGUGCAGACCUGACUCCAGCGUGUUCAAUCAGAACAGCAAGUGUCCAGAAUGUGGGCUCGGAGAGAGUCCUGACUGCGGUUCCUGAGCAGUAACUUGGAAUGGUGCAGUUGUCUACCUAUGAGCCAGGAUGAAGCCUGAGGAUGUACAAACACAGGUGAGGG
Mesocricetus auratus (golden hamster) is the source of this 263-nucleotide long non-coding RNA. RefSeq lists it as uncharacterized. Lineage: Eukaryota; Metazoa; Chordata; Mammalia; Rodentia; Cricetidae. The record is from RefSeq and is a predicted model, not a curated record. The transcript has 4 exons.